RNAcentral lists this ribosomal RNA (462 nucleotides) under Streptococcus infantis. Its description in RNAcentral is "bacterial SSU rRNA". It matches the Rfam family "Bacterial small subunit ribosomal RNA", at positions 28 to 474 of the family's 1533-position model. Lineage: Bacteria; Bacillati; Bacillota; Bacilli; Lactobacillales; Streptococcaceae. The record is from RNAcentral.
GACGAACGCUGGCGGCGUGCCUAAUACAUGCAAGUAGAACGCUGAAGGAGGAGCUUGCUUCUCUGGAUGAGUUGCGAACGGGUGAGUAACGCGUAGGUAACCUGCCUGGUAGCGGGGGAUAACUAUUGGAAACGAUAGCUAAUACCGCAUAACAGUAGAUAUCGCAUGAUAGCUGCUUGAAAGGUGCAAUUGCACCACUACCAGAUGGACCUGCGUUGUAUUAGCUAGUUGGUGAGGUAACGGCUCACCAAGGCGACGAUACAUAGCCGACCUGAGAGGGUGAUCGGCCACACUGGGACUGAGACACGGCCCAGACUCCUACGGGAGGCAGCAGUAGGGAAUCUUCGGCAAUGGACGGAAGUCUGACCGAGCAACGCCGCGUGAGUGAAGAAGGUUUUCGGAUCGUAAAGCUCUGUUGUAAGAGAAGAACGAGUGUGAGAGUGGAAAGUUCACACUGUGACG